Molecule: unclassified non-coding RNA, 614 nt
Filed under: Hevea brasiliensis (rubber tree)
Lineage: Eukaryota; Viridiplantae; Streptophyta; Magnoliopsida; Malpighiales; Euphorbiaceae
Source: RNAcentral
GCUUACUCAAUGGAAAACAAGUAGGUUCAAUCCAUAAGAUUAAGAUGCUUUCUUUUCAAAUACUCUGAAUCUUUAUGAAUUAUGACACUCAAAUUCAUUGAAUUGUCUUUAAGAUUUAUUUAUGCAUCCAUGUGUUUAUAUACACUUGCUCUUGCUAUUCAAUAUCUCCAAGAUUUGCUUCUACACUACAAUUGAAAAGGCCAUCUCAUCAAUAUAAUGUGGUAGCAGCCCCUCUCUCCAUAUUUAGUGAUUGAUUUUCAUGUCCCUGUUUGCAGUUUUGGAAAGCAUAUAUUGUUUCAUUAAAGUGCUGUGAGUGAAUGCUCAACUUAUGUGCUCUACUUGGUCCAUUCAUCAUUUUGAAAAGAUGGCAACCGUAGGUGGUGAUAUCAGUGCGUUUCUCUGUUCCUUGCUCGUCCUACUUCACCUUGGGUUCUAGGUUUGGGAUUGAGUGUGAAUUUGUGAGCUUUGAUGGCAGUUCGGCUGGGUUGAUUGUUUUAUUGGGCAGGCUGCCAUUAGUCAAUGUAGGCUUCCCUUUUUGUGCAGGUUUUAAACCAAGUUUGUAUGUAUAUCUUCGCCCUAUGAGAUUCUAAUGCAAUUAGCAUGUAAAAAGAAGA